CAGCCGCCACGGGAAUACGAAGGGUGCAAGCGUUAAUCGGAAUUACUGGGCGUAAAGCGCGCGUAGGUGGUUUGGUAAGAUGGAUGUGAAAUCCCCGGGCUCAACCUGGGAACUGCAUCCAUAACUGCCUGACUAGAGUACGGUAGAGGGUGGUGGAAUUUCCUGUGUAGCGGUGAAAUGCGUAGAUAUAGGAAGGAACACCAGUGGCGAAGGCGACCACCUGGACUGAUACUGACACUGAGGUGCGAAAGCGUGGGGAGCAAACAGGAUUAGAUACCCGCGUAGUCCCUGUCUCUUAUAA
This 301-nucleotide ribosomal RNA is filed under the name uncultured bacterium. RNAcentral describes it as "partial 16S ribosomal RNA". It matches the Rfam family "Bacterial small subunit ribosomal RNA", at positions 509 to 809 of the family's 1533-position model. The record is from RNAcentral.